Molecule: long non-coding RNA, 1388 nt
Filed under: Gadus morhua (Atlantic cod)
Lineage: Eukaryota; Metazoa; Chordata; Actinopteri; Gadiformes; Gadidae
Description: lncRNA (ENSGMOG00000025123.1)
Source: RNAcentral
UAGGAUUGUACCUGUCCACUGACAUGGUGCUGAAACGGGCUAUGACGCAGGGGGAGAUGCAGGAAUGUCGGAGGAAAAUGGGGUUUAAAAGGGUUAAAAUAUCUCCCCAUCAAGGCCAACCGCAGAGUAGCCUACGAAAAGAAUAGAUUGCAAUAAUAUGAAUGCUAAAGAUAUUAAAACACAAUUGAUUAAGCCUAGGCCGACAUAUAUAGCAGUCCUAAUCCUGAGCGCACGAUCGGGAGGUGGAAGUUGCGCUUUAGAUGCCUUCACAAGUCCAGCGGAGGGCUCCAGUUUUCGCCGGCCAAGUCAUGCGCUGUGAUAUGUGUGACAGCCACCGCUGGACUGGGCAUAGGGCAUGGCGGGCAUAUGCCCAGUGGCCUGAAGCCUUUUUUUUUAUUUUUUAUUCAUGCCAAACUCGCGUCUAACGUAGCAGGCCACGUUAACUUCAAUGCAGGCCACAUUAACGUCAAUUCAAGUUAAUGCAAGUUAAACUGGCAGAUCUGCCCUUUAUCAUGAUUGAUUGAAGCCUGGGCCAAUGAGGUGAGGGGCAGGCCAAUUACGCCUACCCCUCCAUCUCAGCCUCCGUUGGUGACUUGGUUGGUUAGCCACUGCUAGCAGGCAGAUCGAAAACGGGCAAUAUGGACCCUAGUGGGAAGAAAAGAAAGGGUGGCGCUGAAAGAGCCAGGGACCAGAAAAAGCAGCCCUUCAGGCAGAUGCUACGAAAUGCCUAAAAAUAGCUGAUAUGUUUGCUGCUCGUGGACAUGGAGCCUCCACAUCUGCAGCAGCAGCAUCAACAGGUAGUGGAGGAGAAGAUGCUCGACAGCAGGUGGACGAGGCGGCCAUGACGGUUCCCAUGCUUAAGGAGUGCUGGGUGUUGCUGCUGAGAAGAGGCAGAUGGGAUAGCAUCAGCAUCUCUCCCACUUGUUGGAGUGUGUGUGUGUGUGUGUGUGUGUGUGUGUGUGUGUGUGUGUGUGUGUGUGUGUGUGUGUGUGUGUGUGUGUGUGUGUGUUCUGGUCCAUUUGAAAGCUCUCAUUGGUUUGCAUGCUGCAUGUAAGUUACCCAUUCCUUUUCGGUUUAAUGUUUGUUUUAUUGAUAUUCAUAUUCUUAAUAUACAGUAUAAUUGUGUAUUUAUUUACUUUACUUUUUCACACACCUAACAUUUUAUUUUGUAUUGACAGUUGAUUAGCAACACAAAUUGGUAAUAAGAGAAAUCCUUGCUGUUAACUUGUAGCUUGUAGUGAGAUAAACAUCUUGUGGCCUUUUUGUGUAUUGCAAUUUAGGUCAGCCUUUGCAUCCAGUCAUUGGUACAGUCAUCCAGUCAUUUCUUGCUUUAAUAAUGCAUUGUAUCACACAAGUAAUGAUAUAUUAUUCAUAGUUUAGCCUACAGU